Molecule: ribosomal RNA, 264 nt
Filed under: uncultured bacterium
Lineage: Bacteria
Description: partial 16S ribosomal RNA
Rfam family: Bacterial small subunit ribosomal RNA
Source: RNAcentral
UCUUAGUGGCGGACGGGUGAGUAACGCGUGGGUAACCUGCCUUAUACAGGGGGAUAACACUUAGAAAUAGGUGCUAAUACCGCAUAAGCGCACGGGGCUGCAUGGCCCAGUGUGAAAAACUCCGGUGGUGUAAGAUGGACCCGCGUCUGAUUAGCUUGUUGGCGGGGUAGGGGCCCACCAAGGCGACGAUCAGUAGCCGGCCUGAGAGGGUGGACGGCCACAUUGGGACUGAGACACGGCCCAAACUCCUACGGAAGGCAGCAG